Molecule: small nuclear RNA, 116 nt
Organism: Hippoglossus stenolepis (Pacific halibut)
Lineage: Eukaryota; Metazoa; Chordata; Actinopteri; Pleuronectiformes; Pleuronectidae
Product: U5 spliceosomal RNA
Exons: 1
Source: RefSeq, a predicted model, not a curated record
GACCUCUGGUUUCUCUUCAUACUUGCCUAAAGUCUUUCGCCUUUUACUAAAGACUUCCGUGGGGAGAGGAACAAACAUGAGUUAGUAUAUUUUUGGCAGGCUUUGCUGUAUGGCUG